GUCAACAACUUGUAACAACCUUGUUGAUAUUAUCAGGCUUGUUGCAAGGUUAUUCCAACAAGUCUGAUGCAGUCAUGAUAUAACAAUAUUGUUACAACCUUGUGCGGUCGAUCUUGUAACAUCCUUGUAACAAGUCUGAUAAUAUCGACAAGAUUGUUACAAGUUGUUAAC
Molecule: non-coding RNA, 171 nt
Organism: Paramuricea clavata
Lineage: Eukaryota; Metazoa; Cnidaria; Anthozoa; Malacalcyonacea; Plexauridae
Source: the annotation of a GenBank genome assembly